GUAAAGUCAGCUAAUUAAGCUCU
Molecule: transfer RNA, 23 nt
Filed under: Plestiodon lotus
Lineage: Eukaryota; Metazoa; Chordata; Lepidosauria; Squamata; Scincidae
Also listed under: 1 other name
Description: partial tRNA-Met
Source: RNAcentral